ACCAGACUCCUACGGGAGGCAGCAGUGGGGAAUAUUGCACAAUGGGGGAAACCCUGAUGCAGCGACGCCGCGUGAGCGAAGAAGUACCUCGGUAUGUAAAGCUCUAUCAGCAGGGAAGAAGAUGACGGUACCUGACCAAGAAGCUCCGGCUAAAUACGUGCCAGCAGCCGCGGUAAUACGUAGGUGGCAAGCGUUGUCCGGAUUUACUGGGUGUAAAGGGCGUGUAGCCGGGCUGACAAGUCAGAUGUGAAAUCCGGGGGCUCAACCCCCGAACUGCAUUUGAAGCUGUUGGUCUUGAGUAUCGGAGAGGCAGGCGGAAUUCCUAGUGUAGCGGUGAAAUGCGUAGAUAUCAGGAGGAACACCGGCGGCGAAGGCGGCCUGCUGGACCGUGACUGACGUUGAGGCUCGAGAGCGUGGGGAGCAAACUGGAUUAGAUACCCGCGUAA
RNAcentral lists this ribosomal RNA (446 nucleotides) under uncultured bacterium. RNAcentral's name for it is "partial 16S ribosomal RNA". It matches the Rfam family "Bacterial small subunit ribosomal RNA", at positions 330 to 793 of the family's 1533-position model. The record is from RNAcentral.